Molecule: small nuclear RNA, 104 nt
Filed under: Moschus moschiferus (Siberian musk deer)
Lineage: Eukaryota; Metazoa; Chordata; Mammalia; Artiodactyla; Moschidae
Source: RNAcentral
GUGCUCACUUGGGCAACACAUAUACUAAAAUCUGAAUGAUCCAGAGAUUAGCAUGGCCCCUGCUCAAAGAUGACAUGCAAAUUCGUGACAUGUUCCAUAUUUUC